Molecule: long non-coding RNA, 1219 nt
Organism: Uranotaenia lowii
Lineage: Eukaryota; Metazoa; Arthropoda; Insecta; Diptera; Culicidae
Exons: 4
Source: RefSeq, a predicted model, not a curated record
CCGACAUUUUGUAUUUUAGGUUUCGGUGUUAAUGUUUUCUACAAGCGAAAAAGAAAAUUAAUAAAAUGUAGACCAUAGCUAAAUUUAAAUGUAUCCAUUGCACUGCAUCCCGGUUAAUUCUUGCGAAGUAGUUUCCGGGACAAAAUUCUGGUGCUUCGGUUACCUACUCGUCUAAUACCACCUACAGGUAUGUCCCGGAACCAAAAGCCUUAUGCCCCGGCGAACAAGUACUCAAACAGUCAACUGAAGCCACUUCCUCCAAUACCGAAAUCUACCAAUUCCAGUACGAACGGGAAGAAAUAGAAAAAUCAAAUGGUGAUUUUGCGGAACGGGAACCAGACAAUCGUGGAGCUAUUGGAUGCUGCCGCAAAAAGUAAAGCAAUGGUUUCAUGAAAUAUGAUGGAAAAGAAAUCCUUAUCUGAUACAAGUUCUCCCCGGAUUUGGUCCGCCAGGCGCUGCUGAAUCAAUUGAAAGUAUCCCAGUUCACAGCAUUGCUAAUGUUGUUUAAAUCGGUGGUAAGCGAAUAAACGGAACACACGGUCCCGAUGGACCCAUUUAAUUCUACAACAUUGUAUAACCAAGCAAAGGGCCUGAAAUCCCCGGAUUAAAAUUUAUUGUCGUUGUGCCCCCGGAAAGACCUAUUAAGGACCGAAACAUUCACACUAAGGAAUUCCAAACAGUGGAACCACCAGAGUUGAAGGCAAAAGUGAAACGAGCAGCUGGUGCUAAACCAGUUGUUUGUAACGAAAACCGUUGCCAAGGUUGGUGCGAUAAAAAUGUUUAUUCCUCCCGUUGUACCACCUACACGGGCCACCGCUGGUAAUUCGCGUACGUCUGUAUCUGGUUGUAGAGGAAUCGGUUGUAGAGUUUAAUCGGUAGUUUAAGGAUAAAAAAGCUGUUAUGUAUUAUUGAUAUGAUGAACUCUUUCUAACAUGGAUCUUUGGAAAGCCGCGGAUCGUAAAGUUAUCUAUUAACGUAACACGCAAAACCGAUGAAUAAUUGAAAAAAUCUUCUCAAAGAUAAAAUUGCUGAUAUUGCUUUUUUUUUAAUAUAUUUUCGAUAUACUUAAAAUAAUGAUAAGACCAAAAUCGUAUAAAUUGAUCGAAAGUUUACAAAAUUAAAAAUUAUUAUGACAAUACCAAAAAUUUGGUGAAUAAUGUAAAGUGUAAAAUAAUAUCAUGUUUUGAAAUUUGUGAACUCAAUUAAUCGCAUAUCGUUU